RNAcentral lists this microRNA precursor (103 nucleotides) under Marmota monax (woodchuck). The record is from RNAcentral. Lineage: Eukaryota; Metazoa; Chordata; Mammalia; Rodentia; Sciuridae.
ACUAGAAUUGCUGGAUCAUAAGGUAAGAGUGUAUUUAGUUCUGCAAGAAAUUGCCAAACUGCCUUCCAGAAUUACUAUACCAUUUUUCAUCCCCACCAGCAAU